This is a non-coding RNA of Manis javanica (Malayan pangolin), 1314 nucleotides long. Lineage: Eukaryota; Metazoa; Chordata; Mammalia; Pholidota; Manidae. The record is from RefSeq and is a predicted model, not a curated record.
AAACGCUGAACAUUUUGUUUUCGGUUUUAAAUGGGUGGAAGUCAGUAAGGUACAUUCCGGUUGCUCUCCGAGAUGUUUUCAGAGAGCUUUCCUUCUGUCUCACCGUCCCUUAACCUCACCGGCUCCCGAGGACAAUCCACACCCAGCUUCCGGCUUCCGCGUGAAACACCUCCCUGGGCUCCGACCAAUGGGCUCGUCUCUUCCGCGCGGUGGGCGGGACCUUGAGCCUGGAUUGUGGAGACCCGCCUCCCGUACGAAGCAGGCGUGCGUGGAGCCGCGCGGCGCGGGUUGGUUCUUCAGUGUGUGGCGCCCCCCGGCGGCAGCGGAGCCUCAAUGUGAUAGCAGCACCGGGCGCGCACCAUGGAGCCGCAGAAAGGGGCGCGAACAACCGGAGGCCCCGGUGCGCGGCCGCCGGGGGCCUGGUCUCAGACGCCUAACGAGGAGGAGCGGCGGGAGGGCGGCGCAGAGCCGGCGGUUGCCGCCCCAGGCGCGGGCGCGGAGGCGGGCGGCGCCAGUGCGGGCGGGCUGUGGGAGCUGCCGGUGGAGCCGGCCCAGCGGAGGCCCGAGUGUAGCCGCUGCAGCCGACCUCAGAAAGUAUGUUUGUGCCCAUUUCUACCAGUACAUCCUCUGCACAUCUCUACCCACUUGUACAUAAUUCAGCAUCCAGCAGAGGAAAAUAAAGUGUUGCGGACAGUUCCUCUACUAGCAGCGUGCCUCCCCCAGGACAAGUGUAAAGUCAAGGUUGGUCGUCGCUUCAGUGAAGAAAGAGAUCCUGAAAUUUCAACUGUUUGUCGGAAAUCUGACACAUUAAUAUUAUAUCCAGGGGUUGAGGCUGCUAAUUUGGAAGAAUUUAUAUUAGAUUCUCCUAUUUAUCCUUCCACCAUCAUCAUCAUUGAUGGUACAUGGAGCCAGGCAAAGGACAUUUUCUAUAAGAAUUCCUUGUUCCGACUGCCAAAACAGAGUCUUGGAUGGUCUUCAUUGGGGUGAACGGUGGUACCAUUAUUGACAGAAGGGCAAUCAGGAAGAAGUUCCUUGGAGGACGUGGGCUGCUAUCAGAAGAAUGAUUUAAAAGCAUGGAUCAGCAGACGAAAAACCCCCUAGACCAUUUCCAAGUGAAUUGCUACAGUCAGAGGGAUUUUACACAGGAGACUCUUGACAUUUGCUAAGAAUAAACUCAAGAUGAAUAUAAAAAUGUUUGUAGGGGUUCCUGGCUUUCUUCAUAAACUGAUUUCCACUGUAGGAGACAACCAGAGCAUCUUUUGGAGAUUCCUUUCCCUAGCACUUGCUGAUUGGGCGGCCUGUGUACUGAAGGGU